AGAGGUUGCUUUUGGCUCAGGACGAACGCUGGCGGCGCGCCUAACACAUGCAAGUCGAACGGAGUUAUUUUGGCAGAGGCCUUCGGGCGGACGCUGAUGUAACUUAGUGGCGAACGGGUGAGUAACACGUGAGCAACCUGCCCUUCAGAGGGGGACAACAGUUGGAAACGACUGCUAAUACCGCAUAAGACCACGGUGUGGCAUCACACAGAGGUCAAAGGAGAAAUCCGCUGAAGGAUGGGCUCGCGUCCAAUUAGCUAGAUGGUGAGGUAACGGCCCACCAUGGCGACGAUUGGUAGCCGGACUGAGAGGUUGAACGGCCACAUUGGGACUGAGACACGGCCCAGACUCCUACGGGAGGCAGCAGUGGGGAAUAUUGCACAAUGGAGGAAACUCUGAUGCAGCGACGCCGCGUGAGGGAAGAAGGCCUUCGGAUUGUAAACCUCUGUUGUCAGGGACGAUAAUGACGGUACCUGACGAGGAAGCCACGGCUAACUACGUGCCAGCAGCCGCGGUAAAACGUAGGUGGCAAGCGUUGUCCGGAAUUACUGGGUGUAAAGGGAGCGCAGGCGGGAGAACAAGUUGGGAGUGAAAUCUGUGGGCUCAACUCACAAAUUGCUUUCAAAACUGUUUUUCUUGAGUGGUGUAGAGGUAGGCGGAAUUCCCGGUGUAGCGGUGGAAUGCGUAGAUAUCGGGAGGAACACCAGUGGCGAAGGCGGCCUACUGGGCACUAACUGACGCUGAGGCUCGAAAGCAUGGGUAGCAAACAGGAUUAGAUACCCUGGUAGUCCAUGCCGUAA
Molecule: ribosomal RNA, 800 nt
Filed under: uncultured bacterium
Lineage: Bacteria
Description: bacterial SSU rRNA
Rfam family: Bacterial small subunit ribosomal RNA
Source: RNAcentral